Molecule: long non-coding RNA, 1055 nt
Organism: Frankliniella occidentalis (western flower thrips)
Lineage: Eukaryota; Metazoa; Arthropoda; Insecta; Thysanoptera; Thripidae
Exons: 2
Source: RefSeq, a predicted model, not a curated record
UCCGCUUCCUCCUCACCCCACCCCAUCCCCUCCCUCCUCUCACCUCCCACGGAGCCUCUUGCUUCUUCAGUCUCGUGUUCAAAUAUAGCGUUCAGUGCGUCGAGAGACACAGACCCGGCUGCAAGUGGGCGUGCUGCUGGCUGCGGCGUCCCAGGCAGACGUGAUCAGGAAGAAGUGCACUGCUUUGAGGGGAGGCGCCAGGCGGCGGUCCAGCAGACGGAACCACAGAAGGCACCUCGUCUGUCAAGCAACAAUCAAUGAAAUCGUCCAGCUCUCAAAAUACUUCUUUCAACGAUGGCAUUGGAACGCUAUCAGCUCUGCGACAGGGCGGUCACUUAUACAGAAUAAAAAGAAUUACACUAAUGCUUUGCAACUAUGAUGUUUUGCGUUCCCCAGGCUACAGGGCUCGAUAAUUUUAUGACGAACUGAUUUGCGGUAAAAUGUAGAGAUAGAAAGUCAUAGCAAAAAGAAUUUGAUAACUUUUAUUUCAAAACUUUGUACUGCUUCAUCUCGACGGCCCCGUCCUAGAGACUGCGUUAUGUACAGUUCUUCUGUAAAAUAUGCGUUUUGUUGAAUACGUUUCUAAACGAUACCAUCUGUUUUGAGCUUAUCUGGAGACAGUUUUCAGCAGGCGAUCCACAGCUGCUAGAAGAUUCAAACAAUUGUUUCACUGGCAGAAACAAAAUUAAAAAAAAAUCAGAAGGGGGUAGAACUGCCAUCUGAAACCGUUGGUACACAGUAUUUGAAACCCGUUUUGUUCCUGCACGGCCAGCCGAAAUGUGCUGCGAGGAAGCUCAAAAUCAAAUAGUACUUUUAGAAGCGUACUCUACACAACGCAUGUCUCAGGGACGUUUCGUUUUGCAAACCAAACAGUGUAUUUAGUACACGCAAGAAAGAGUGUACGUGUGCCCAGGAAAGUGUGUACUAUGCAAUCACACACUUCUCUGCGCAUGCCCACGUGCGCCCUCUUGUACUAAGUACACUGUUUUGGUUUGCAAUAAGCACAACGUAUUGUCACAAUUUUUCUGAUUAGAAGUUAUUGUAUCUUUCAGCAA